UACCUGCAGCUCAAGUGGUGGCCGUUAUUAUUGGGCCUAAAACGUCCGUAGCCGGUUUAUUAAAUGCCUGGGUAAAUCGGGCCGCUUAACGGUUCGAAUUCCGGGUAGACUGAUAGACUUGGGACCGGGAGAAGCUAGAGGUACUCCUGGGGUAGAGGUGAAAUUCUGUAAUCCUAGGGGGACCACCAGUGGCGAAGGCGUCUAGCUAGAACGGGUCUGACGGUGAGGGACGAAGCCCUGGGGCGCAAACCGGAUUAGAUACCCGGGUAGUCCAGGGUGUAAACGCUGCUUGCUUGAUGUUAGUCGGGCUCCGAGCCCGAUUAGUGUCGGAGAGAAGUUGUUUAAGCAAGCUGCCUGGGAAGUACGGCCGCAAGACUGAAACUUAAAGGAAUUGGCGGGGAGCACAGCAACGGGUGGAGCGUGCGGUUU
Molecule: ribosomal RNA, 429 nt
Filed under: uncultured archaeon
Lineage: Archaea
Description: bacterial SSU rRNA
Rfam family: Archaeal small subunit ribosomal RNA
Source: RNAcentral